CAAAUGGAGCUUGACAUCACUGCUCUGCACGAAUCUGAAAGAUUUCAUGACAUGACAAAAGAGAAAUGGCAGAAAUGUGGAGUCACUUAUCCAUUAGUCAUCCUGACUGCACACAUAAAGUCCUGUGUGUCAGCUGAUGAAGCUGAACAGAUCAAACAAGGAAGAUAUAUUAAAGUAGUUAAAUUCAUUUAAUUUAAUACAUAAUUUGAAAGUUUAAUAAGGUAUGAUAAAUAUUUUUUAGAACUGCUUUUGGAGACACCAGAUUAUCUCAAAAAUACUGAUAACACGUAUUUCUCAGGUUUUUGUUUCUUGCAUAUGCAGGUUAAAGGGAAAAUUAUGUCUUUUAGUCUUUCAUAUGUCAUUCAUAACCUGUAUAACUUUAAAACGCAAAAAAAAAAAAAAAAUUCAAUAAAUAAUUGGAAGAUUAUUUUUUUCACAUUUAAUGAUCAGUCUUCAGAAUAUCUUGUUGUUACAUCCAUGGUAAAUAAUUUUUUUGGAACUGAUAAUACACUUCUGUGACAUAAAACUGAAAUAGAAUACACAAUUAGCUUUAGCUGAACUGUUGAUAUGUUGCUUUUUUUUUUUUUUUUUUUUUGCAGAUUGGAAAUCUGAACCAGAUAAAAAUAAAGCAUCAUCCUUGUACACAAUGUAAAUAAUUUGGCAACAUGAGAUGAGAAAGCCCCUCUUGAUGAGCAUGGAUUUGAGGAUGGACAAGGAAGAUCAAGACAGAGAACUUGUUGCAUUCUACAAACAAAACGGCAUAGAAUGGACAAGCCCUGUGACGUGCAGACUCCAAGGGGAUGCUGCCAUUGCUGAAGGAGUAACCAGACAUUUCUUGUCUACUGUUAUA
This is a long non-coding RNA of Cyprinus carpio (common carp), 850 nucleotides long. RefSeq lists it as uncharacterized. Lineage: Eukaryota; Metazoa; Chordata; Actinopteri; Cypriniformes; Cyprinidae. The transcript is spliced from 2 exons. The record is from RefSeq and is a predicted model, not a curated record.